This 252-nucleotide ribosomal RNA is filed under the name uncultured bacterium. RNAcentral's name for it is "partial 16S ribosomal RNA". It matches the Rfam family "Bacterial small subunit ribosomal RNA", at positions 524 to 776 of the family's 1533-position model. The record is from RNAcentral.
UACAGAGGUCUCAAGCGUUGUUCGGAUUCAUUGGGCGUAAAGGGUGCGUAGGUGGCGGGGCAAGUCUGGUGUGAAAUCCCGGGGCUCAACCCUGGAACUGCACUGGAUACUGCUUUGCUAGAGUACUGGAGAGGGAACUGGAAUUUACGGUGUAGCAGUGAAAUGCGUAGAUAUCGUAAGGAAGACCAGUGGCGAAGGCGAGUUCCUGGACAGUUACUGACACUGAGGCACGAAGGCCAGGGAGCAAACGGG